Molecule: ribosomal RNA, 756 nt
Filed under: uncultured bacterium
Lineage: Bacteria
Description: bacterial SSU rRNA
Rfam family: Bacterial small subunit ribosomal RNA
Source: RNAcentral
CUGGCUCAGGAUGAACGCUGGCGGCGUGCCUAACACAUGCAAGUCGAGCGAUCUUCUUCGGAAGAGAGCGGCGGACGGGUGAGUAACGCGUGGGUAACCUGCCUCAUACACAUGGAUAACAUACCGAAAGGUAUGCUAAUACAAGAUGAUAUAAGAGAUUCGCAUGGAUUUUUUAUCAAAGCUCCGGCGGUAUGAGAUGGACCCGCGUCUGAUUAGCUAGUUGGUAAGGUAACGGCUUACCAAGGCGACGAUCAGUAGCCGACCUGAGAGGGUGAUCGGCCACAUUGGAACUGAGACACGGUCCAAACUCCUACGGGAGGCAGCAGUGGGGAAUAUUGCACAAUGGGCGAAAGCCUGAUGCAGCAACGCCGCGUGAGCGAUGAAGGCCUUCGGGUCGUAAAGCUCUGUCCUCAAGGAAGAUAAUGACGGUACUUGAGGAGGAAGCCCCGGCUAACUACGUGCCAGCAGCCGCGGUAAUACGUAGGGGGCUAGCGUUAUCCGGAUUUACUGGUCGUAAAGGGUGCGUAGGUGGUUUCUUAAGUCAGGAGUGAAAGGCUACGGCUCAACCGUAGUAAGCUCUUGAAACUGGGAAACUUGAGUGCAGGAGAGGAAAGUGGAAUUCCUAGUGUAGCGGUGAAAUGCGUAGAUAUUAGGAGGAACACCAGUAGCGAAGGCGGCUUUCUGGACUGUAACUGACACUGAGGCACGAAAGCGUGGGGAGCAAACAGGAUUAGAUACCCUGGUAGUCCACGCCGU